Molecule: long non-coding RNA, 2083 nt
Filed under: Heterocephalus glaber (naked mole-rat)
Lineage: Eukaryota; Metazoa; Chordata; Mammalia; Rodentia; Bathyergidae
Description: lncRNA (ENSHGLG00000042631.1)
Source: RNAcentral
UUUCUCUCCUUCAGAGCUAUAUUUCCUCAGCUUCCCCCCUUUUAUGUAAAUUAUGACUUUUUUGUAAAACCCCCAAUCUCAUACACACACACAAACAAACACUAAAAACUGAAUAGUCAGUGGACAGUUUUAACUGCAUGAUAAUGGAGAAUUCAUGAACUGUAAGAUAGGUCAGAAAAAGGCUAUUCAGAACUCACAUAUGAGGAUAAAAAACACCACAACCACUUUGGAAGGCUGGCAGUUUCUUAGAAAGUUAAACAUGUUCCUACCUUACAACAACUGUACAAUUACAUACCUAGGUAUUUACCUGAGAAAAAUGAAAAUAUGUAUACACAAAAAAUAUGUACAGCCAUGUACAUAAAGGUUUAUCUGUAAGAGCCUCAAACUAGAAACAAUACAAAUGUCAUGAAAAGGUAAAUGGAAAAACAUUCAUACAACGAAAUCUUACAUAGCAAUGUAAAAGAACAAAUCAUCAAUACACACAACAAUAUAUAAAUCUCAGAAACUUUGUUUUGAGCAAAAGAAGCCAGAAAACAAAAAGCAUAUAUUAUAUAAUUUCAUUUACAUGAGGGUCAAGAACAAGCAUAACUCAUGGGGAUAGACAAUGGUUAUUUCAGGGGAAAGGGUUUGACUAAAAAGGGGUACAAGAAUAAUUACUGGAGUAAUAGAAAUGUACUAUAUCUUGGUUUGGUAGUAGCUAUAUACUUGUCAAAGCUUAUUAAAUUAUAUAUUGUUAAAAAUCUUUGCACUUUAUUGUAAUAAAUUAUACUGUAAUAAAAAGAUUUUUGAAUGGAGUAGAAUCAGAGAAUGGCAAUAUAAAAUUUAACUAAAAACCUAAGAAGAGAGCAGAAAUAGGACAGAAGUAAUAUUUGAGGAGAUAAUAGCUAAUAAUUCUCUCAACCAGAAAGAUGAACUGCUAAGUUAACAUGAGAGAAACAUAAUUAAAUAUUUCUCAAGAAAACCUAGAUUCUCAGUUUUUUGUGAGGUAUUUUCAUUUUUCAUGAAAAAUUUUCAGCAGGCAUGUAGACUAGUUUUUACCUCUUUUCUACAUCCUUUAUUUCUGCUGCAAUAAACACAACUAACUGCCAGUCAUACACAGACUUGUACUAUUCGCUAUGGUGGACACUGACUACAUGUGACUACUGAACACUUGAAAUAUGGAAAUGGACAUGUACUAUAAGUGCAAACUAUACAUUAAAUAUCAAAGACAGUAUGAUAAAAAGUUUAAAAUUGAUUGAUUUAAGGAAUAUUUACAUAAUUUUAUUUUAAAUAUAUUGGGUUAAGCUAAGCAUGGUAGUGUACAACUAUAAUCCCAAAAUUGGAGAGGCUGAGGUUUGCCACAAGUUUGAGGCCAGCCUAGGCUACAUAGUGAGAAGCAAACAACAACAAAAAUUAUACAUACAGUUAAAUAUAUUAUUGUGAAAAUGGAAGGAGAUCUGUAAAUAGGAGGAGGGGAGAGGAAAGGGAAAUAAAAAUUAAGAUGCAGUAUGCAUAUGUACUAAUUCCUCAAAAUGAAUAUAAUUAUUGUGCAUCACAAACAUAUAUUAAUAAAAAAGAAAUUAAAAAUAAGAUUAAAUUAAUUUCACUUUUUUUUACCCUUUUAAAUCAUUACUAGAAAAUUUUCAAUUAUAUAUGUGGCUCACAUUUUUGGUUUAUAUUAUACUUUUAUUGGAGAGAGCUGACAUAGAUUGAUAUUAAUGUCAUUUUACUUAUAAAAAUAUAGAAAUGGUAUGUGCAGAAAACUGCACAACAUAUAAUAUAUACAAUUUUAUUAAUAAUUAUAAAUGGGACAUCCAUAGCCACCCAGAUCAAGCAAUAAAACAUUUCUAGGAUUCUAGAAUUCCACUGAGUGCCCUUUCUCAUUCAAAGUCCUGUUCCUUUUUCCCUAAAGGUAGUCACUAUCCUUUUAUUGUAUCAUAGUCCUGUUUUUCUUUAUAGUUUUACCACCUACUUCUGUAACCAUAUAAUGUGCCUUGAUCUAUUUUAUACCUUUAUAUAAAUGAAAUCAAACUGCAUGCAAUCCUUUUGGCCUUACUUCUUUUUAAUAUGUUUUUAAGAUUCAUUCAUGUAGUACAUGUAUCUG